Molecule: ribosomal RNA, 403 nt
Filed under: uncultured bacterium
Lineage: Bacteria
Description: bacterial SSU rRNA
Rfam family: Bacterial small subunit ribosomal RNA
Source: RNAcentral
AGGGAAUAUUGCGCAAUGGGGGAAACCCUGACGCAGCGACGCCGCGUGAGUGAUGAAGGCCUUCGGGUCGUAAAGCUCUGUUGUAUGGGAAGAAAAAAAUGACGGUACCAUAUAAGAAAGGAUCGGCUAACUUCGUGCCAGCAGCCGCGGUAAUACGAGGGAUCCUAGCGUUGUUCGGAAUCAUUGGGCGUAAAGGGUGUGUAGGCGGCCAAGUAAGUCAGUUGUGAAAGCCCCGGGCUCAACUCGGGAAGUGCUUCUGAUACUGCUUGGCUUGAGUAUUGGAGAGGUGAGUGGAAUUCCAGGUGUAGUGGUGAAAUACGUAGAUAUCUGGAGGAACACCGGCGGCGAAGGCGGCUCACUGGCCAUAUACUGACGCUGAAACACGAAAGCGUGCGGAUCAAAC